AGUGAACGCUGGCGGUAUGCCUAACACAUGCAAGUCGAACGGCAGCACAGUAAGAGCUUGCUCUUACGGGUGGCGAGUGGCGGACGGGUGAGGAAUACAUCGGAAUCUACUUUUUCGUGGGGGAUAACGUAGGGAAACUUACGCUAAUACCUCAUACGACCUAAGGGUGAAAGCAGGGGAUCUUCGUACCUUUCGCGCUUUAAUGAGCCGAUGUCGGAUUAGCUAGUUGGCGGGGUAAAGGCCCACCAAGGCGACGAUCCGUAGCUGGUCUGAGAGGAUGAUGACCAACACUGGAACUGAGCAACGGUCCAGACUCCUCCGGGAGGAAGCAGUGGGGAAUAUUGGAAAAUGGGCGCAAGCCUGAUCCAGCCAUACCGCGUGGGUGAAGAAGGCCUUCGGGUUUUAAAGCCCUUUUGUUGGGAAAGAAAAGCAGCAGGUUAAUAACCCGCUGUUCUGACGGUACCCAAAGAAUAAGCACCGGCUAACUUCGUG
RNAcentral lists this ribosomal RNA (492 nucleotides) under uncultured bacterium. Its description in RNAcentral is "partial 16S ribosomal RNA". It matches the Rfam family "Bacterial small subunit ribosomal RNA", at positions 29 to 507 of the family's 1533-position model. The record is from RNAcentral.